UACGGAGGGUGCGAGCGUUAUCCGGAAUUACUGGGUUUAAAGGGUGCGUAGGCGGCCAGGUAAGUCAGGAGUGAAAGCCCUGGGCUCAACCCAGGAACGGCUUUUGAUACUAGCGGUCUUGAGUUUGGGAGAGGGAAGCGGAAUUCCUGGUGUAGAGGUGAAAUUCGUAGAUAUCAGGAGGAACACCGGCGGCGAAGGCGGCUUCCUGGCCCAAUACUGACGUUCAGGUACGAAAGCGUGGGUAGCAAACAGG
Molecule: ribosomal RNA, 253 nt
Filed under: uncultured bacterium
Lineage: Bacteria
Description: partial 16S ribosomal RNA
Rfam family: Bacterial small subunit ribosomal RNA
Source: RNAcentral